This 107-nucleotide transfer RNA is filed under the name Natronomonas pharaonis DSM 2160. It matches the Rfam family "tRNA". From Rfam's summary of the family: Transfer RNA (tRNA) molecules are approximately 80 nucleotides in length. Lineage: Archaea; Methanobacteriati; Methanobacteriota; Halobacteria; Halobacteriales; Natronomonadaceae. The record is from Rfam by way of RNAcentral.
GGGCCCUUAGCUUAGUCUGGUUAAAAGCACCCGGCUCAUACUCCCGUCGCUGUUCGGCUACGGGAUGGGACACCGGGCGAGCGCUGGUUCAAAUCCGGCAGGGCCCA